AUCUCCUGUUCUGUGUACAGACCGCUUGGGAUGGCGACAUCAGACAUGUAAGAAAAAAAAGGUAAAGGCUUGCUACUCAAAGUAUGGGCCACACACCAGCAGCACUGGCAUCGCCUGGGACCCGGUUAGAAAUGGAGAAGCUCAAGCCCCACCCCAGACCUGCUGCAUCAGAACCUACAUUUCACUGCCUCGAGUGGAUGUCUCUUACCUGCCACCAAAAAGCCUCACCGGGAACUUAGAAUGGUGUCCAGGAGGCAGUGCUCAAUAAAUAUUACUGUGUUC
Herpailurus yagouaroundi (jaguarundi) is the source of this 282-nucleotide long non-coding RNA. RefSeq lists it as uncharacterized. Lineage: Eukaryota; Metazoa; Chordata; Mammalia; Carnivora; Felidae. The transcript is spliced from 3 exons. The record is from RefSeq and is a predicted model, not a curated record.